Molecule: ribosomal RNA, 465 nt
Filed under: Vreelandella stevensii
Lineage: Bacteria; Pseudomonadati; Pseudomonadota; Gammaproteobacteria; Oceanospirillales; Halomonadaceae
Description: partial 16S ribosomal RNA
Rfam family: Bacterial small subunit ribosomal RNA
Source: RNAcentral
CCUACGGGAGGCAGCAGUGGGGAAUAUUGGACAAUGGGGGCAACCCUGAUCCAGCCACGCCGCGUGUGUGAAGAAGGCCCUCGGGUUGUAAAGCACUUUCAGGGAGGAAGAACGCCUGGUGGUUAAUACCCAUCAGGAAAGACAUCACUCACAGAAGAAGCACCGGCUAACUCCGUGCCAGCAGCCGCGGUAAUACGGAGGGUGCGAGCGUUAAUCGGAAUUACUGGGCGUAAAGCGCGCGUAGGUGGCUUGAUAAGCCGGUUGUGAAAGCCCCGGGCUCAACCUGGGAACGGCAUCCGGAACUGUCAAGCUAGAGUGCAGGAGAGGAAGGUAGAAUUCCCGGUGUAGCGGUGAAAUGCGUAGAGAUCGGGAGGAAUACCAGUGGCGAAGGCGGCCUUCUGGACUGACACUGACACUGAGGUGCGAAAGCGUGGGUAGCAAACAGGAUUAGAUACCCGAGUAGUC